AAGUAUCGAUGACAAUAUAGUUAUAACAUCAAACAGUAAUUUAAAGGGGUUAUUAAGGAAAAACUAGCAAAUUUAUAAAAAAGGAGGGCACAUGUCCAAAAGCCACAAUUCACUAUAAAGGUGAUCUAUGAUUAGAAUAAAAUUUAAUUAUAGUUAAAAAAUGUAGGCGAUCCUAAGGGAAACCUUUAUAUCUAAACUUCCCGAAGUAAAACAUUUCAUUAGGGAAAGGAAAGGAAAUCAACCGAGACUCCGAAAGUAAUGGCGAGUGAAAUCGGAAAAGCCUAAAAAGUCUGUAAAGUUCAAACAAUAAUACCUACCAGUAACCAAAGAAGGUAAAUAAGUCCUGUAUGUUAAACUUUACUUCUCUUUUCAAUAGAAAAGAAAUCCAAAAUAAGUACGACGAGAGUAAACUUGUUGGAAUAUAGGGGAACCAUCCUCUAAGGCUAAGUAUUUAUAAAUUUAGCGAUAGUGAAAAAGUACCGUAAGGGAAAGUUUGAAAUAGCUAUGUAUUAUUAGACAUAAAUGAAACAGUUGAAUUAGUAACUCUAUAAGCAGUCGAAAUUUAUCAUUAUAAAUGACGGCGUACCUUUUGCAUAAUGGGUCAGCAAGUUAAUAGGAGUAGCAAGGUUAAAAGCCUUAGUGAAAGCGACCACACUAACUAGCUAAUAGUAUUUAUAUUUAAAAUUUUAAAUAUGAAUAGGAUAUCCUUCAAUAAAAUGAAGUUUAAUAUUUUCUAGGAAUAGUAAUGGAUAAGUUACUUCUAUUAGACCCGAAGCUAGGUGAUCUUCCUAAGACCAGAUUAUAAUGGAUCGAACGGGUGAAUGUAGCAAAAUUCUCCGAAGAGUUUUAGGAAGCGGUGAAAUGCCAAUCUGACCUAGUGAUAGCUGGUUUUCUACGAAACAUAUGUAAGUAUGACAUCUAAACAAGAUUUAUGGUGGUACAGCACUGAGUUCCCAACUUUCUAAGUUUAGGUUGCGGGGACCUCGAAAAUCUUACCAAUGGAAGAGAAUCUCGGAAUGACAUAAAUUGAUGUUAGAUAUUCAGACUGCUCAUGCGAAGUUGGGUAGUCAAGACGGAAACAGCCGAGAACACGAAACAAGGUCCCAAAUGAUUUUUAAGUGAAAUGAAGGAAGUAAUAUAUUGAAAGCAGCUGUAAAGUGAGCCUGGUAGUCGCUAUCUUUUAAUAAACGUAAUGUAACAACGUAGCAGCCAAAUUUUAGAAUAUUACGCCAAAAAUUUAACGGGUCUAAAAAAAUCAACCGAUAUCGUGUUUAUUUUGAAUACCAAUAUCGUAUUCAAUAUACAGGUAGUAGAACAUUCAGGAUACUGAUGAUAAAACAGUGUUUCAUUGUUUUUAGGUCACUGAAGAGAGAAUGCUGACAUGAGUAACGUAAAAAGAAGUUAUAAUACUUCUCGCCGAAUACGAAAGGGUUAUAAGGAAAGGUUAAACCGCCUUAUGUUAAUGCGGCCUCUAAGGACCAAAACCAAAGUUUUGGCUGAUGAGUAUGAAAUAGAAAGUCCUCUAAAUAAUAAAAUUAAAUAAGAGGACCAGGAAAAUAAUAUUUAGUAAGAAAAAUUUAUUUUUUCUUUUCACUACCGUACCCUAAACCGACACAGGUUCGUAAGUAGAGAAUACUAAGGCGUAGAGCUAAAAGUUGUUAAGGAACUCGGCAAGUUCUCCUCAUAAGUUUGACGAAAAGAGGAACCCCUAAAACAAAUAAAAAGGGGUGGCACAAAAUCGGAGGCCCCGACUGUUUACUAAAAACACAAUUCAGAGCAAUGAUGAAAAAUCAUAGUAUUCUGGAUGAAAUUUGCCCAAUGCCAUUAACAUAAAAGAGGUUAUAGGUAACUGUAACUAAUUGAAAGUCUGGUUAAUAGCGGUCUUAACUAUGAGGAUCCAAAGGUAGCAAAAUAAAUUGGCCAUUAAAUGUGGUCUGGUAUCAAUAGUGUAACGAUGGUCUCACUGUCUCUACAACUUGCUCAGUGAAAUUGAAUUACCCGUGCAGAUGCGGGUUGCCUCCAGGUGGACGGGAAGACCCUAUGCAGCUUUACUGUAGUUAGCUAUCAUAUUGAUCUACAACAACCUUUGUUAAUAGGAAUUAGGGAUGUCGAUAGACGAAAGAUGGAAUACCUUCUGACUUUGGUUGGGUUAAUAUUUACCUUGUAAUGAAUAAAUCAUUUAAGGGAUAGGUGGCUAAUUGGCAGUUUGACUGGGGCGGUCGUCUUUGAUAAAGUAGCAAAGUACAUCCAAAGAUAUUUUCUUUAUUUUCUCUAUAUUUUUUUUUAUAGAGAAUAGAAAAAACAUAGUAAAUGUUUAAACUAUGUAUUAAUAUAAAUAAUGGCUUGUACAUUAUUUGUAUUUUGAUUAACAUAAGGUAGAGCUAGAUAAUUGAAUGGAAAUCAAUCAACCAGUGAGAAAGGUUGUAAUCGGCGUAAUGGCGGAAAGCAUGCCUAACUGAAAGACUUAGAAGUCGAACAGAUACGUAAGUAGGGCAUAGUGACCCUUCGCUAUAUUAUGGAAUAGACGGGGAUCAAUCGAUAAAAGUUACGCUAGGGAUAACAGGCUGAUAGCUGGUGAGAGUACACAUUGUCCCGGCUGAUUGGCACCUUGAAAAUUAUAAAAAACAAAAACAUACCAACGAAUAUCAAAUUAUACACUAAAUACAAAUGUAAUAGUCCCAAUAAAUUGUUUGUUAUUUACGAGGUAUGCUUACUGCCGUCGAAAGGCGUCGGUUUGAAAAAGUAAAUAGCAAGGGACUGUUCUUAAUAUCGAUAAGAGCACUUAAAAAAAAAAUUUUUUAAAAAGAUUAAGCCUCUUAAUAGUUGGAGGAGUAUAUUUUUUUAUACUAAUAUUGCGAUGUCGACUCAACCUAUCCUCCGGGGGUAGAAGCUUGGAAGGGUUCGGCUGUUCGCCGAUUAAAAGGUUACGCGAGUUGGGUUUAAUACGACGUGAGUCAGUAUGGUCCCUAUCUUCUGGAGGGAUAAAUAGUAAAAAGGGGCAGACCUUCUAGUACGAAAGGAUCAAUAGGCUGUGUUUCUCUAGUGUACCAAUUGUU
RNAcentral lists this ribosomal RNA (3056 nucleotides) under Trametes hirsuta. RNAcentral's name for it is "bacterial LSU rRNA". It matches the Rfam family "Bacterial large subunit ribosomal RNA". The record is from RNAcentral. Lineage: Eukaryota; Fungi; Basidiomycota; Agaricomycetes; Polyporales; Polyporaceae.